AGUGUGCAGAGCUCUGCUUCGUUAGGAAUCCUUUCGCUCCAAAUGACCUGCCUUUAAUGAGUGGGGGGUGCCCUCUAUUUAUAGGGGUUCUUAUGGGGGCAAUAUGGUCAUUUGGGCAGUAACCGCCUAACUGCCCAACUGAUCAGAUUGGGUCCAGGGGUCGACUUUCCAGAGAUCGACUUUCUGGGGGUCGACUUUUCCUGGUG
Molecule: long non-coding RNA, 206 nt
Filed under: Zostera marina
Lineage: Eukaryota; Viridiplantae; Streptophyta; Magnoliopsida; Alismatales; Zosteraceae
Description: long non-coding RNA (ZMAR_LNC006100)
Source: RNAcentral